This 5479-nucleotide long non-coding RNA is filed under the name Solanum tuberosum (potato). RNAcentral's name for it is "long non-coding RNA (STUB_LNC008650)". Lineage: Eukaryota; Viridiplantae; Streptophyta; Magnoliopsida; Solanales; Solanaceae. The record is from RNAcentral.
UUAUCUUCGAAGAAUUUAGCCCAGAAACGAGCUAAAGCUCGAUCAUAAGGGUCUUUAGGUAAGAUUGGAGGGCCUUCAAAUGUCUCAUCGAUGUAUUCGAGAAUCACACUUGACUCACAAAGGGGCUUGCCAUUGUGAAUGAGCACAGGAACUGCCUUGUGAAUUGGAUUAGAUUGAAGAAGUAAAGAGCUCUUAUUUUGUAGAUCAUCUUCUAUAUAUUCAUAUUCUACACCCUUAAUCUUUAGAGCCCAUUCAACUCUUUUACUAAAAGGGCUAUACCAUAAACCAAUCAACUUAACAUUAGACAUCUCUCAAAUUUGGCUAACUAUGUUUUUGCUUUACUAAUUGAGGGAAUUUGUAUGUGGUUGUGAUCUCCCCUUGAGGUCUAGUGCCUUCUUUUAUAUAGGGAAGUUUCUUAGCAAAAUCCAGCAAAUGCAUUGAUGUUUCCAAAGUAUUUUGUUUUGACACUUAAAUAUAUGUUUUGUUUAACAAAUGGCACAUAUAUAAGUCACCAUUUUACACAAUACUUGUCAUCUACUCUCACCGUUGUUAUUUGUAUGUCACCAUUUUAGUUUUCACAUCUCUUAAGAAAUUAAGUAAAUUUAUUAUGUAUUCUUAUUUAAUGUUCUCUUAUAGUCAAUUUUUUAAUAAAUAAACAUAAAUUAAUUUAUUUUAAUUGAUUUAAUUGACCAAUAAACAUGAAGUAAUCAUUUAAUUUAGAUUAGUUUUAUUAAUUCAGUUUGUUGAUGAAAAUGAUAAAUAUGCAUUAUUUAUUACUCCCCUCGUUCCUAUUUAUAUGCUGCUGUUGUUAUUAAAAAUAGAUGAGCUUUCUUAAUAUUUAUUAUUUUAUAAAAUCAAUGCAUAUAUAUAUAUUUCCCUAUAUUAUACACACUAUUUAUGGAGUACUUACUUAAUGGGUGGCAGGUUAACUAAUUAAUGGUGUGGGUAGAGCUGGCCUCAACGAUCAAGUUUUUUUUUUUUUUUUUUUUACGGCUUCAAUGAUAACAUUAAAUUAUUAUCUUUUUAAAAUUUUGUGUCAAGUUAAAAUAAGAUAAAUAAUUUAAUUCGGACAAAAGUAGUGUAUCAAGCUUUCUUUCUCUUAACAAUACUUUUAUUUAUACGUGAAUCCAAAAUUUAUAUUAACUAGUGAAAUAAAGAUAAAUCUUAUAACAUGCAACUUUAAUAUAUUUCAAUUGAAUUUACAAAAACUCAAUUUUUAUUGCCACACAAAAUCUUGAAAUUCACUUGAGGUAUACUCAUUUUGAAGCAUCAACAGGCUGAAUGUAGGCUCGGUAACGGAUAAGCAAUUCAUCUCUUGAAGGAAAAUAUUCCUCGUUUUGUGUGCAAUAUUCAUCUCUCCAAGCACAAAAAUUUGGAAAUUUUUCACUUGUUACCAAAACAACUCCAGAUACUUCUUCAAGAAUUCCCAAAUAAAGUGCUGCACCAUUUGCAACAAUAUCAGCAAAUCCAAAUUUGUCACCAACAAAGCACUUCUUGUCCUUGAACUCAUUAUCAAGAAUUUUCAACAUCUCAUAAGCUUCCUCUUUAGCUUUCUCUUGUUCCUCUCCUUUCGAAAAGAAACUUUUCCACACUGCUGCCCCCUGCCCAACAAACAAAACUUAAUAAGGGUCGUUCACUCGUUUCGAUAGCUGGUUAGAGUUAUACAGAUAUUAAUAAUAUAUCAAUUAGUUAUAAUGGAAUCUAUGCAUAUAAAAUAGUUAUGUAUUUCUAAAUUGCAAAUCAAAUAUCAUAUUAAUUUUAUACACGAAUAAUUUAUCUCCAAAUCAACUAUCAAAUAUGGUAUUCAUUACUUAUCCAGAAUUUAAUAUUCGGAUAACUUAUUUCCUAACCAACUACUAGACAAAUAUGUUAGUUUUGUUGACUAUACGAGAAGUUCGUCUUAGUCGAAUUUUAUAAAAGAUUAUUAAAAAGCAUGAGACCUAAAGUAUAUGUAAUAACAUAACUAAAACAAAAUUUUCAAUCAAUUGGAAUAACUUAAAAGCAAUAUACCUUAUCUUCGACGUAUUUAGCCCAAAAUCGCGCUAAAGCGCGAUCAUAAGGAUCUUUAGGCAAAAUGGAAGGGCCUUCAAAUGCCUCAUCAAUGUAUUCAAGAAUGACCAUAGACUCACAAAUGCACUUGCCAUUGUGAAUUAACACUGGGAUUUUUUUGUGAAUUGGAUUAGAUUGAAGAAGUAAAGGGCUCUUAUUUUGCAAAUCUUCUUCUAUAAAUUCAUAUUUCACUCCCUUAAUUUUUAGAGCCCAUUCAACUCUAUGGCUAAAAGGACUAUAACUUAGACCAAGCAACUUCACUUCUGCCAUGUUACAACUUUAGUUCUCAAUUGUUUUUUUUGCUUAAUUAUGUGUGGUUGGUCUCCCUUGGUGUCUAGUUUUUUUUUUAUAGAGGAAAAAAUAAGGAUACAUUAAAGUUUCUUGUUUGACUAUUCAACUUUUCUAAUAUUAAAAAUUAUAUUUGACUAACUAGACACUUGUUUGAAUAAACUACUAUUCCAUCUAUCCCUAGUUAUUUACCCACUUUUGGAAUGACACACCAAUUAAGAAAAUAAUAAUUGAUAUAACGAGUUUACUAUUUUACCUUUAUUAAUUAUGAAGUGAAUGAAUUGAAAAUUUAAAAUUUAAGAUUUUUAAAGUAAUAAAUUGAGGGUAUAAUAGAGAAAUUUGUUUAUUCUUUUUUUAUUUAUCAAAAUAAAUAAGUAAUUAAGGAUAACUAAAAAAGAAAAAAUGGACAAAUAAUUAGGAACGGAGGAAAGUAAACAUCUUCCAUAUUUUUUAGGAGUGAGUAAUAUUUAAAAUAAUAAAGAUGACUUAUGUGCUCAUGUCACCCACCUUUGGUCAAAUCUGGUGGCUAGAAAAAUCAAUGAUACUUAUAUUUUAAUUUAUUUGUCCUAUUUUUAUUUCUAAUCUGUUUUAAAAAAAGAUAUUUCUUUUUAUUUUUGAUAAUUUUUUAGUUUCAUAUAUUCACUUGACAUGUUUUUUUAGUACAAAGUUAAAAGAUAUAUUUUAAUAUAUUUGACAUAUUUUUAAUUUUAAAAAAAACACAAAAAUUUAAAACUUUUUAAAUGGUUAGAUUUUGGAUAAGCCAAAACAUGACAAUAAAUUAAAAUGAAGGGAGUUUUUAAUAUUCCGAGUCACCUAUUAAUUUUAGCUUUCAUUUUCAAUUUAAUGAGAAAAUUGAUAUAUAUUAAUUAAAUAAUAUACAGUCAUUGACCCACCAAAGGUGAAACUUCUUAGCAAGUGAAUAGCUAAAAUACUUUUCUCUGACAAAUAAUUUUAUUCGAACGGAAUUCAAAUUUUAAAGUAAGUAAAUUUCGAACCAAUACAAAUAAUUUAGUUGAACCUCCAAAAUUCUUCCUGAAUUCAAUUCUAAUAUCAAAUUUCAAUUUGAAAAGUAAAACUAAGCAUGCCAGAUUUGAUAACCUACACGUUGUACGCACCCAAAAUUAAAGGACAUAAAUAUAAAAGGUAUAAUACAUAAAUAUGUCAUUUAACUUGACUUCAGUUGGCAUCAAUAUCCUCUAACUUUGGGUGUGUAUAAAUAGACACUUAAACUUGUAUAAAAUUGAACAAGCAAACACAUGCGUUCUAUGUAACAUAAUAAACGUAAGACACAAAAUUGCCAUGUAGGACACCACGUUAAACAAUACAUAAAUAUGUCAUUUAACUUGACUUCAGUUGGCAUCAAUAUCCUCUAACUUUGGGUGUGUAUAAAUAGACACUUAAACUUGUAUAAAAUUGAACAAAUAGACAUAUUAGUUUAACGUGGUGUCCUACAUGGCAAUUUUGUGUCUUACGUUUAUUAUGUUACAUAGAACGCAUGUGUUUGCUUGUUCAAUUUUAUACAAGUUUAAGUGUCUACUUGUGCACAUUCAAAGUUGGAAGACAUAUAUGACAGUUGAAGCCUAGUUAAAGGGUCAAUUUAUGUAUUAUGCCAAUAUAAAAUGAGGUCAAAUUAAAGAAAAUAUUUAUGUAUUAUGCCUAACUAAAACAUAAUUGUACAUGCCAAUCACAUAUCUUGUCUUUUACGUGGAUAAGCAAAAUUAAAAUUUAACUCGAUAUAAUUUAAAGUUUCGUGCUAAUAGUAUGUUAUAAAAUGAAGCCAAAAAUUAACAAUAUGAAAUACAAUAAAGUAGACAAGAAGAGUAAAUAGACCAGAGAGAAACAACAUGAUUUUCAAUAUCUUUAUUAUAGGGCUACCUAGAAUUCAUCACAUGGUGUCAUGAAUAUAGAAUUAAUAAUUGAAAACAAGAGGAAGAUCGGGGGAGAAGUGCAGUAGCGGAGUCAGAAAUUUCACAAAGGGUAUUCAAAAACUGCAUAAGUAAUUUUUUUUAUUUUUUUUACAAAUAAGUGCACUAAAAAUUUUAAUUUUCUCAUAUUGAUUUGGGCUGACUUCAAAGAUCAAGUCCUUUCUGACAGCUUUAAUUAUAAGAUUCAAAAUUCUUCUUUAUAUCUUUUGAAUUUUGUAAAGACCCUUAUUUUGAAGCAGCAACACGUUGAAUGUAAGCUUGGUAAUGGGCAAACAAUUCAUCUCUUGGAGGUAAAUAUUCCUUGUUUUGAAUGUAGUAUUCAUCUCUCCAAACACAAAAAUUAGGGAAUUUUUCUUUUGUCACCAAAACAACUCCAGUUACUUCUUCAAAAACUCCAAACCAAAGUGCUACAGCAUUUGCAACAAUAUCAACAAAUCCAAAUUUGUCACCAACAAAGAACUUCUUGUCCUUUAACUCAUUAUCAAGAAUUUUCAACAUCUCAUAAACUUCCUCUUUAGCUUUCUCUUGUUCCUCUCCUUUGAGAAAUAAACUUUUCAUCAUUGAUGGCCCCUACAUAACAAUUGGAACUUAAAUUUCAACAAUUCUUUUUGUAUAAUGGUAAAGAUAGGAAUAUACAACAAUAGAAGUACAUUAGUUGACUAUAUGAUAUUUUAUUACUUAAUUUAUGUUCAUCUUAGUCCGAUUUUAAAAAGUAAUACAUAAACAUACAUUGGUUGUAUCUGAUAAUAAGCACUUUAACUUUGAUAUGUAUAGACAACUAAUGUGUCUCUUAUACACCCUAUACCGACAUGACACACAAAUUUUGAAGGUGUCUAGAUCAUGAUCAUAUUAUAAGUUAGAAAGUUCAAUUAACAGAGUAGAGACGAGUUAAGGUGCCUAUAUUUAGUUGAAGUGCUUAUUUACAAGUUGAAGGCCAUAUACCUUAUCUUCGAAGAAUUUAUCCCAAAAACGAACUAAAGCUCGAUCAUAAGGGUCUUUAGGCAAGAUGGAAGGGCCUUCAAAUGUCUCAUCAAUGUAUUCAACAAUCACACUUGACUCACAAAUGGACUUGCCAUUAUGAAUGAGCACAGGAACUUUCUUGUGAAUUGGAUUGGAUUGAAGAAGUAAAAGGCUCUUAUUUUGUAGAUCAUCUUCUAUAUAUUCAUAUUCCACACCCUUAAUCUUUAGAGCCCAUUCAACUCUUUUACUAAAAGGGC